UACGUAGGGUGCAAGCGUUGUCCGGCAUUAUUGGGCGUAAAGAGCUCGUAGGCGGUUUGUCGCGUCUGCUGUGAAAACUCGGGGCUUAACCCCGGGCCUGCAGUGGGUACGGGCAGACUAGAGUGCGGUAGGGGAGACUGGAAUUCCUGGUGUAGCGGUGAAAUGCGCAGAUAUCAGGAGGAACACCGAUGGCGAAGGCAGCUCGCUGGGACGGUACUGACGCUGAGGCGCGAAAGCGUGGGGAGCGAACAGG
This 253-nucleotide ribosomal RNA is filed under the name uncultured bacterium. RNAcentral describes it as "partial 16S ribosomal RNA". It matches the Rfam family "Bacterial small subunit ribosomal RNA", at positions 524 to 776 of the family's 1533-position model. The record is from RNAcentral.